GCCUUGGUGGCUCAGCUGGUAGAGCGUUGCCUCGGUAAGGCAAAAGUCGCGCGUUCGAAUCGCGCCCAAGGCU
RNAcentral lists this transfer RNA (73 nucleotides) under Candidatus Nanohalarchaeota archaeon. RNAcentral describes it as "Candidatus Nanohaloarchaeota archaeon tRNA-Thr". It matches the Rfam family "tRNA". Rfam says of the family: Transfer RNA (tRNA) molecules are approximately 80 nucleotides in length. Their secondary structure includes four short double-helical elements and three loops (D, anti-codon, and T loops). Further hydrogen bonds mediate the characteristic L-shaped molecular structure. tRNAs have two regions of fundamental functional importance: the anti-codon, which is responsible for specific mRNA codon recognition, and the 3' end, to which the tRNAs corresponding amino acid is attached (by aminoacyl-tRNA synthetases). tRNAs cope with the degeneracy of the genetic code in two manners: having more than one tRNA (with a specific anti-codon) for a particular amino acid; and 'wobble' base-pairing, i.e. permitting non-standard base-pairing at the 3rd anti-codon position. RNAcentral also lists the same sequence under 1 other name. Lineage: Archaea; Nanobdellati; Candidatus Nanohalarchaeota. The record is from RNAcentral.